Long non-coding RNA from Cornus florida, 260 nucleotides. RefSeq lists it as uncharacterized. Lineage: Eukaryota; Viridiplantae; Streptophyta; Magnoliopsida; Cornales; Cornaceae. The record is from RefSeq and is a predicted model, not a curated record. The transcript is spliced from 2 exons.
AUACAGAAGGAAAGCAAUAUUGAAGAGAGUGCCAAGAGUUUUGCACAGAGGCAGAGAGCCUUGAGGCUUUUUUGAUUAUCUGACGAAUGAUUUAUUUAUUUUACAAGUUUCAGGUAUCGAGGAUGAACUUGGAUUGCUAGUAGCGGGCUUAGGUGGAAGAGUUGGUGUUGAGGAUUUUUAUUUAAUUAUUUAGAGAUUUUUGUAUAUUUAAUUGAGAAACUUGAUUGUUGUAUCAAUAAAGGAUAUUUUAUUUCUUUUGA